Dendroctonus ponderosae (mountain pine beetle) is the source of this 400-nucleotide long non-coding RNA. RefSeq lists it as uncharacterized. The transcript is spliced from 2 exons. NCBI's taxonomy places the organism in Eukaryota, Metazoa, Arthropoda, Insecta, Coleoptera, Curculionidae. The record is from RefSeq and is a predicted model, not a curated record.
UGUCACUGUCACGCAAAUCAAUAUCGUAAAUCAAUUGAACAAUAAAGCAGUUCCAAGAGUCCCAUAAUGAAAAUCCAGCAGAUUACCGUUCCUAUUGCAACUCUUUCCGACGAACAACUUAAAACAUGGGCGCAACACCACGAGUUUGCGGUCAAAAACUUGGACCAGUGCGAGCCUAUAACAGAGGCUGAAUUGAAUAAGAUAAAGGAGGAUUUAGAGAACGUCUACUUUGAAAUAUGGAAGAGAGCAUUUCAGCCGGUAGUUGCUGAGCUUAAGAUCCGCCUUGCAGUGUUGCGGCACUAUUUGUUUUAAAAUUGUUUGUGUUGUAUUAAACCAAUCACCGAUUGAUACUACAAUGUAUUGCCAUGUGUAUUGAAUAAAAUGAAAUUCUUUUAAGUUA